CCUACGGGUGGCAGCAGUGGGGAAUAUUGGACAAUGGGGGGAACCCUGAUCCAGCGACGCCGCGUGAGUGAAGAAGUAUUUCGGUAUGUAAAGCUCUAUCAGCAGGGAAGAAAAUGACGGUACCUGACUAAGAAGCCCCGGCUAACUACGUGCCAGCAGCCGCGGUAAUACGUAUGGGGCAAGCGUUAUCCGGAUUUACUGGGUGUAAAGGGAGCGUAGGCGGCAGGGCAAGCCUGAUGUGAAAGCCCGGGGCUCAACCCCGGGACUGCAUUGGGAACUGCCCCGCUCGAGUGCCGGAGGGGCAGGCGGAAUUCCUAGUGUAGCGGUGAAAUGCGUAGAUAUUAGGAGGAACACCAGUGGCGAAGGCGGCCUGCUGGACGGUGUACUGACGCUGAGGCUCGAAAGCGUGGGGAGCAAACAGGAUUAGAUACCCGAGUAGUC
RNAcentral lists this ribosomal RNA (441 nucleotides) under uncultured bacterium. RNAcentral's name for it is "partial 16S ribosomal RNA". It matches the Rfam family "Bacterial small subunit ribosomal RNA", at positions 338 to 795 of the family's 1533-position model. The record is from RNAcentral.